GGAUCCAAGAUGGCGUAGAAAGUAAUGACAGGAUUUGGAUGAAGUAAUUGAUCACUAAUGAACUACAGUGCUGGUGAGAUGUGUAAGAAAUUAUAAAGAGCUCUGAUGGGCUAUUUGGGUGACACCCAGUGCAGUGAACUGCAGGAUUUUUGUCCCUGAGUCAUGGAAGACAGAAGAGCUGAAAAGUCAUGUGAACAAGCAUGUGAAUCACUUAAGAGGCAGGACUAUGAAAUGGCCCUCAAGCACUGCACAGAGGCCCUUCUUUCUCUUGGCCAGUACUCCAUGGCAGACUUCACAGGGCCUUGUCCAUUGGAAAUAGAACGCAUCAAAAUCGAGAGUCUUCUCUACAGAAUUGCCUCAUUUUUGCAACUGAAAAAUUAUGUGCAAGCUGAUGAAGAUUGUAGACAUGGUAUGUUUAAAAAUGAGACUCGAAUUAUUGAGUUGAACAAUGUUUAAGGUUUGAUUUUUUUUUUUUUUUUUUUGGCUAAUUUCAAAAGUGAUGAUAAUGUUUGAAAAGGCCACCUUACU
Molecule: small RNA, 528 nt
Filed under: Pongo abelii (Sumatran orangutan)
Lineage: Eukaryota; Metazoa; Chordata; Mammalia; Primates; Hominidae
Description: retained intron
Source: RNAcentral